AGAAAAGCAUGUUUCUAUUUAAGUGCCUGCUGUCCUUUAUCAAGAAGCUCUCCUUUAUUUGGAUUAUGGAAACACAUACAUUUUCAAGCUUUAAUUCC
Molecule: long non-coding RNA, 98 nt
Organism: Neomonachus schauinslandi (Hawaiian monk seal)
Lineage: Eukaryota; Metazoa; Chordata; Mammalia; Carnivora; Phocidae
Exons: 3
Source: RefSeq, a predicted model, not a curated record